Molecule: long non-coding RNA, 2277 nt
Filed under: Eptatretus burgeri (inshore hagfish)
Lineage: Eukaryota; Metazoa; Chordata; Myxini; Myxiniformes; Myxinidae
Description: lncRNA (ENSEBUG00000017269.1)
Source: RNAcentral
UAUGGCACCAAGGAUUAAAAACUGAUGAACUUGUACAGAUUUAAUUUAUAGAGAAUGUCUGAGCUUAUCUGUGCAGGUGGUCAAGAGGAAUAUAUGAAAUACAGUGAAAGGUAAGGUGUGUAAAGCAGAUACUUUUUGAGUGUUUUUGUGCUGUAUUAUUUUAAGGUCAGCUAUUAGGAGCUAUGUUUUCAUUCUGUCUCUCCUGUUCCUUCAUCCUCACCUAUUUUACCUCUUCCUAUUUGCCUCUCUCUUAAUUUCUAUUCUCCUCUCCUCCCUCUACCUUGUGACAGGACCAGCAUCCCCAACUGACAAACCUGACAUCAACUCAACCAUUCCAAAGACCACCUGGACCUCCGAUCCCAAUGUACUCCCCAUCAUGCACUUCUCAAACCAAUGCAUCAACUGCUCUCUCCAUCCAUAAUAGCCAAUUUGGAGGACUUUCCUCCUGCCAAUCUUGGACUGCUCUUCCAUGUUUAAUUAAAUCUGGGUCCUCCAUCAGCAGUCAAUUUUCCAUGACGUCGAUGAAUAUAACUCCAUCACCUUCAAAUUCUUUAGCGGUGACCCAGCCCAAACUGCGAGUCAUUCCUGAGACACAGGAACCAGCUGAAUGGCAAAUCAACUCUCCUUCAACUUUUGUGGAUCAGAAAUCCCUAUCAGACAACCUGGAAUGGAAAGUUGCAUCCACCGACAAGAAGUCAUCAUCUUUCCUAAAACCAACUCAAGUGAAUGUUGUACCAACCACACAAAUUUUCAGUUCUCAGAGCUCCCAGGGACAGAUACUUCCCAUCUUUAAAAGUAGCAUUCAGAAGCUCACCAGUGUUUUUCCUCCAACAUCUCUUUCCAAUAACCACAAGGUGAACAGCUUUGCACAGCAUGUACUGGCAGGUGGAGGUCUUGGUACUAAUCAUCACAGUUGCAGUCCUAAAGGUUCCUUCCAAAAAGUGAAACCACCCUUUGUGCCACGUUUCAAACCAAUUUUGUUGCAUACAAAACAGGUUGUUAGGAAGAAAGAAGGGGAAAAUGACAAAGAAAAGGAAUAUACCACACAAAAAAGCAGCAGAACAGCGAAUCCAUUUGAGGUUUCCAGCAAUACUUCAAUUGCACGUUCUAGUUUUUUCCCUGAAAAAUUCAAGCGAAAACAUGAGGAGGACAUCAGCAUUGUGAAAAAGAAAAGGGUUUGCCCAAAACCAGCUGUUCAGGAUGUGGACAUUGCAAAGUUUGCUGUUAAUGUUCAGUCGGGAAAAGUUACGACUGCUACUUUGAUCUCUUGGUUGAAGACCAAAGGUAUUCCUGUUCAUUCAAGGGAGAAAAAGGAGAUUUUGAUGAAAAAGGUUCAAGAAUACAUUGCCACUCAGAAACCUGAAAUGUGAUCAAUAUUUGUGAGCUUGUGUUUGUUGGGUGUAGUUCAGUUCUCAGUAUUCUCAGUCAUUAAAUUUGUUACAACUUGAUGCAAUAGCUUUAACUAACUUUAUUGUGCAAUGUUGGCUUUAAAUGGAAUUCACCUGUAUUUCCAAAAGUAACUGGACAACACACACAAAGUUGGAAUGAACCCUUCCUACCGGACUGCAUAUUUUCACACAAUGUACAAAGGACGUCCUUUAUAAAUGUGUGCAACACCAACUGAAACCCGGUUGUAAUUAAGAUCGCAUGAGGUAAUGAGCGGACUGAAAUUUAACAUGGAAUAGUUGUUGGAUAACAGAGUUCCAUGGUAUUUCCAAUACAACUGUGAGUCAAUUAUUGUCAAUCGAUCAACUGUGAGUGAUGUCUUGAGGUAAUUAUUUGUUUAAUUUUUUUAAGCGACACGCACACAUUAUAACUGUGAGCAGUUAUUCCAGGGCCCAAGCCCUGGCAUAAUUCUAUCCGUUAUGGGUGCCAGACCACGUAACAUAUGAAGUUUACAUUUUCAAACUAUAUUCCCCAUGGGUAGUCCAUCAUAUUUAUGGUUUCACAUUCAUUGGUUCAGCAGUUUGAGAGAAGAUGAUUUUUUAAUACUUUACAUUCGAUCCAACAUGGUUGCCUGAUCACAUGACUGAUGACGUUUCAAUUUCCAAUCUAUAUUCCCCAUGAAUAGUCAAUCAUAUAUAUGAAGUUUUUUUUAUCCAUCAAUUAAAUGGUUCAGGAGAAGGAAUCAUUUUUAGGUUUUUGUUCAAUCCAAUAUGGCUGCCAGACCACAUGACCGUGAUGUUUUGUGAUAAUACUUUUAUCCCCAUGGAUAAUCGAUACUAUAUUUAGUUUUGUAUCCAUUAGUUCAGCAGUUUGAGAAGAUUUUUAAUCCAU